This 248-nucleotide ribosomal RNA is filed under the name uncultured bacterium. Its description in RNAcentral is "partial 16S ribosomal RNA". It matches the Rfam family "Bacterial small subunit ribosomal RNA", at positions 335 to 603 of the family's 1533-position model. The record is from RNAcentral.
ACUCCUACGGGAGGCAGCAGUGGGGAAUCUUGGACAAUGGGGGAAACCCUGAUCCAGCCAUGCCGCGUGAGCGAUGAAGGCCUUAGGGUUGUAAAGCUCUUUCAGGUGGGAAGAUAAUGACGGUACCACCAGAGAAGCCCCGGCUAACNCCGUGCCAGCAGCCGCGGUAAUACGGAGGGGCUAGCGUUGUUCGGAAUUACUGGGCGUAAAGCGCACGUAGGCGGAUUGGAAAGUUGGGGUGAAAUCCC